RNAcentral lists this ribosomal RNA (324 nucleotides) under uncultured eukaryote. Its description in RNAcentral is "partial 18S ribosomal RNA". It matches the Rfam family "Eukaryotic small subunit ribosomal RNA", at positions 1470 to 1796 of the family's 1831-position model. The record is from RNAcentral.
CCCCUAGAUGUUCUGGGCCGCACGCGCGCUACACUGAACAGUUCAACAAGUCUUAACCUUGGCCGAUAGGUCUGGGUAAUCUUUGAACGCUGUUCGUGAUUGGGAUAGACCUUUGCAAUUAUGGGUCUUCAACGAGGAAUUCCUAGUAAACGCAAGUCAUCAGCUUGCAUUGAUUACGUCCCUGCCCUUUGUACACACCGCCCGUCGCACCUACCGAUUGAGUGAUCCGGUGAAUAAUUCGGACUGCAGCACUGCUUGGCCUCCAGGCUUUGCAGCGGAAAGUUUAGUGAACCUUAUCACUUAGAGGAAGGAGAANUCGUANCA